This is a long non-coding RNA of Gadus morhua (Atlantic cod), 1713 nucleotides long. NCBI's taxonomy places the organism in Eukaryota, Metazoa, Chordata, Actinopteri, Gadiformes, Gadidae. The record is from Ensembl.
GGGGGAGCCUGGAGUGACCAUCGCAGCAGACGGCUCCCUCCUGCUGGGGGCCAGAGGGCCGCAGGGGCCCCGGGGGGCCAAGGUGAGCACCACCACCUAAUCACCAUCACCUCAUCACCACCACCUCAUCACCACCACCUCAUCACCAUCACCUCAUCACCACCACCUCAUCACCACCACCUCAUCACCACCACCUCAUCACCACCACCUCAUCACCACCACCUCACCACCACCUCACCACCACCACCUCAUCACCACCACCACCACCACCUCAUCACCACCACCUCAUCACCACCUCAUCACCACCACCUCAUCACCACCACCUCAUUACCACCACCUCAUCACCACCACCUCAUCACCACCACCUCAUCACCACCUCAUCACCACCACCUCAUCACCACCACCUCAUCACCACCACCUCAUCACCACCACCUCAUCACCACCUCAUCACCACCACCUCAUCACCACCACCACCACCACCUCAUCACCACCACCUCAUCACCACCACCUCAUCACCACCACCUCACCACCACCACCUCAUCACCACCACCUCACCACCACCACCUCAUCACCACCACCUCACCACCACCACCUCAUCACCACCACCUCAUCACCACCACCUCAUCACCACCACCUCACCACCACCACCUCAUCACCACCACCUCAUCACCACCUCACCACCACCACCUCACCACCACCACCUCACCACCACCACCUCACCACCUCAUCACCACCACCUCAUCACCACCACCACCACCACCUCAUCACCACCACCUCAUCACCACCUCAUCACCACCACCUCACCACCACCUCACCACCACCUCAUCACCACCACCUCAUCACCAUCACCUCACCACCACCUCACCACCACCUCAUCACCACCACCUCAUCACCACCACCUCACCACCACCACCUCAUCACCACCACCACCUCACCACCACCUCAUCACCACCACCUCAUCACCACCACCUCACCACCACCACCUCACCACCACCACCUCACCACCUCACCACCACCACCUCACCACCUCACCACCACCACCUCACCACCUCACCACCACCACCUCAUCACCACCACCUCAUCACCACCACCUCAUCACCACCACCUCACCACCACCUCACCACCACCUCAUCACCACCACCUCAUCACCAUCACCUCACCACCACCUCACCACCACCUCAUCACCACCACCUCAUCACCACCACCUCACCACCACCACCUCAUCACCACCACCACCUCACCACCACCUCAUCACCACCACCUCAUCACCACCACCUCACCACCACCACCUCACCACCACCACCUCACCACCUCACCACCACCACCUCACCACCUCACCACCACCACCUCACCACCUCACCACCACCACCUCAUCACCACCACCUCAUCACCACCACCUCAUCACCACCACCUCAUCACCACCACCUCAUCACCACCACCUCAUCACCACCACCUCACCACCACCACCUCACCACCUCACCACCACCACCUCAUCACCACCACCACCUCACCACCACCUCACCACCACCACCUCAUCACCACCACCUCAUCACCACCACCUCACCACCACCUCAUCACCACCACCUCAUCACCACCACCUCAUCACCACCACCUCACCACCACCUAAUCACCAUCACCUCAUCACCACCUCAUCACCACCACCUCAUCACCACCACCUCAUCACCACCACCACCUCACCACCACCUCAUCACC